UCCCCCCCCCCCCCCCCCCCAUGGUGUUUAGAUCUACACUUAAAAUGCAAUAUGUUUUUUAAAAAAAGACAUAAUGUUUUGUAACAAACCAAACAAAAAACAAAACUUUGUGCUCAACUGAAAACUUGUGUUCGAACUCAGGAUUGUGUCUUGUUAUCAUAACAUGCUCAAAGCAUUUGUUGGCUUCUCUGGUUACCAUAGUGACAUCUUUAGUUCUGAGAUAUUCUUUGUUUACAUAAAUAUUUACGCCAAGAAACGAAACAAAAAUAUUAUUUUUGUUAGUUUUCAAUUUGUGGAUAUUUUUUUUUUCUUCAGAUUUUAUUAUCUUUACAUGGUAUUAUUCAGUUUUGAUGUUUCUAGAUCAUGUCAAUGAUGGAGAAGUUUCUGAGACCAGAUUGGAAGGACUGGUUUUUUUUUAAUGUGAUUUUCAUUUUCUGUAUUAAAAUAAUUGCUUGAUUGAUCAACACUCCAUCCAUCAUUGACAGUUGAUAUUAACUUUUGUCUUUUUUUUUUUAAUAUGAAUCUAUUAAAGCAACUUGUUGAUUAAUUUACUGGCUGAUGGUUAAUGAUAGAAUGUCAUUGUAAUGAUUGGCCUCACAUUAGCUGUAUUGGUGAUAUGUAUAUUUUAUUGCUAUCUAAACAGUUCCUAUCUGAACCAGGUUCAAGGUCUAACAGGAUCUAAAUGUACAAGAUUUUUUUUGUGUAGAGACAUCUGCUUGAGUUUUAGUGUAGAGAUACUCUGUGUGUGUGUGUGUGGCGUGCGUAGCUUGUGUGAACAGUGUUUUGGCAUGGACCACUGUGUUGGGUUUAAAGACUAAACAUUCUAUUUCAAUUUGUUUAUGUGGAACAUUUAUACAUUUCAUAUGUUUCAAGAUUAAAAUAUUUUACAAUCUGUC
This is a non-coding RNA of Biomphalaria pfeifferi, 896 nucleotides long. The record is from the annotation of a GenBank genome assembly. NCBI's taxonomy places the organism in Eukaryota, Metazoa, Mollusca, Gastropoda, Planorbidae.